Zonotrichia albicollis (white-throated sparrow) is the source of this 5578-nucleotide non-coding RNA. The record is from RefSeq and is a predicted model, not a curated record. NCBI's taxonomy places the organism in Eukaryota, Metazoa, Chordata, Aves, Passeriformes, Passerellidae.
AUGCCUGCUUGGGUUAUGUCAGCACUGGAGAUGAAGAAAAACCUCCAAAUCAUAAAUUCUGCUCACCAGUGGCUGGCCUGGAACCAAAGAAGAACUGAAGAAUAAUUGAGGAGGGAAGAGACUUCUGGGGGCUCCUUGUCCAACUCCUUGCUUAGAGCAUCCUCAUACAUCAGCUUGCUCAAGACCUUGUCCAGGUGAACUCGGAAUGUCCAAGGAUGGAGAUUCCUCUGCUUCUCUGGAGCCCUGCUCCAAUGUAUGAUGACUCUGAGCUUCCAGCAUAUGACACAGCCACACAAAAGCUGCUCCUGAUGGCCUCUGAUCUGCAAACACUGCAGCAGGAAAUCUCCUCUGGAGACUUGUUUGACAGAACAAGUAGAAAAGUGGAUUUGGAAACUCUUGGAAAUGCAAACACUUGGAAACCAAUUCUCUUGAGUUCCACUGCCUGGUUCCUGACAUCCUGAAGAUGUCCCAGCUCCAAGGAUUGCCCCUCCCAGCAGAAAGCCCUUGAGGAGUGCUCCUUGCUCUUGAGAUUAGUGUGUCUGAGGUCACUGGAUUAAUGCUUCACAUCCACUGCUGUCCUCAGGGAAUAGAAGUUGCAUCCUCAAAUCCGAUUAUUUACUGAAUUGGCUGGGCUGGAGCCAGUGCUUUGGGAAAGCUGAGUUUUGGUUACCCUGUGUCCUCUGCACCUGCAUCAGCCAGCCCAGACAGCACAUCCUGCAGCCCAGGAGGGCACUGGGGUUCCAGGGGCCUUAUAAAUCAGUCUGGUGUAUUUCUAAUGAUGCUGAUGAGAUCACAGAGAAAAUAAUUUGGAUUGGAGGAAGAGAGAAUUGGAAGAACGUUCAUCAGCUGUGAGUCAUGACAUAAUAGAAUCAUACCAGAGUCUGUGGAAUCCUUCAGAAAUUAUUGAAAAAUUGGUAAAGUGACUAAUCUGCAGUUGUGGAUUUGAGGAAAUUGAGACUGCCUGAGGCUGCGGACAUCAACGUGAUCUGAUUGUACUUGCAGCAGAAGCCACAUUAAAAUGAGCAGUUACAUAAAAUCAAAACAAACUUGGAAGAGCUAAAGGGUUUCUCUUUUCAGACAACUUUCUGAAGAAGGAUUUGACUAUGAAAAUAUUGAACUUCCUUGGAAAAGUUUGGAUUCCUGAGAGCAGGAGGGUGUCAGCUGUGGUGGAUGUGUGUCCCCUCUGUCAGGGUGCAGCUGUGUUAACAAGGGAAAACAAAUACAAAAGAAGAUUUCUUGAAGAAAACUAAUAAAAAGUAGCCUUGAGCAAAAAUCUGGAGGAGGAAAUCUUCCUUGGAGGCUUGGGGUGGAUUUCGCAGAAGCGGCUCGGAGUCACAGAUGGGAAUUAUCCAGCAGAACCUGCCUUGCAGUCCUCAGGAAAUCAAAGCAGCCUGACAAAUGUCUGGCUGCACACCCCAGAACAACACUCAGGAAUGUUCUACCAACAGCUGCUCCUGCUUCUGCGGCUGCGGCAGGAGACAGGCAAACAGAACCCGUGCCAGGCAGCCAGCGAAUCCCACUCGGAGCUCCCUCGUGUACGCAGGACAAGAGGAGGGAAGGGAGCCUGAGAUGGAAACCAAUUUCUAAAAUCCUUCUUGGAAAUGGAAAUGAUUACUGAAAAUGCCCAAAGUGUCCUUCCUCAGCUCAUGCUGUGCCUGGGCAGGAGGUCACUUUGUCCAGGAACCUUUUUCAGACCCUUUGGCCACUCAGAGAGAAGCAGAGGCUGAGUUUCCAAGCUGACAUUGCCAUUGGUGACAAGAGUGAGCUCCAGGUAUCAGAGACCUCACAGCCAUCUGAAUCAACCAGAGAGAGACAAAUCCUAACUAAAACAUAGCCACGAAAUCUACUUCUGAGCAAAAAUAAUUAAUAAUAAAUGUUGUUCUAGGACACAAAAUUAGAUGACACUCACGCUGGAACUUCCAAGGUAAAAAGAAUGGAAGUGGAAGUUUAUUUCCUGACUCCAACAUUUAUAGACUUUCAAAAGUGACAGUGGAUUGGAAGAUGAAAGUGCCACCUCUCCAAUGGCACCGGACAAACCAACAGUUCAACAAAUUUCUCCUCUUCCAGAAAAGAAUGUGAAACAAUAACUAUUUACAUAAAAAUGCAUAAGAAAGUUCAUUACAAAAAUGUAAACAUCAAAAGGCUUUGAAGAACUUAAAAGAACAGAGUGACAAUUAAAGGCAUAUUUUCAUUAUUUGAAGGAAAAACCACACAUAAUAUAAAUUCUUCCUGAUGAGUAAAUGAGUAAUUUUGAUCAAGGAAGUGCAGACUGCAUCUUUUAAAGCUCCAUCCUCUGCCAUGUGUGGAAUAAUUGUUGACUCCAGUUUGAAGAAGAUGCCUGUGCUGUACUCUCAGCUCAGCCAUGGAGAUGCCAUCCCUUGCAUACCAAGCUCAGCAUUGUUUAUGCUCUGGCUUUUUUCUGUUGUAAUGAGAACAAUUAUGAGUGAAAGCAUUUUGCUGCUGAUGAAGUGCAUAUUGGCUGUGAGUUUAUGCUGUAUUCUGGAUUUAAGCCCUGCUUAAGAGUCAGUCAGGCACAGAAGACUCUGAAGAUUUGAGAGGUUCUUCCUUCAGAGAAGUGAUGUGGUUUGUAGCAGAAUGAAUUUCCUGGUUUUACUUUGGCCCUGACUAGAAAGGCUUUUCAUUUCCUGAGGAUGAUGAGUUCUAUUGAUUGGCAGACUUAUUUUUCCAGAAUAAACCAGGGAAGCUCCUGCCUUGUCCUGCAGUGCCAGAGCCUGGUGCCAGCGUGAUUCUGUUCUCACGUUUCUGAUUUCACAGAAAUGAAUUAAGAGCUUGAAGAUUGAAUUUGUGGAUGUGAAAAAUCAGAAAAAGAUGUAAAUGCUGUUUUCCUGAGGCCAAGGGAGCUCUGCAUCAAAGUGAAAAGCUACGGUAAAACCCUCUGCAAGCUCCUCUGGACAGCAGCAGCACCCUCAGCACUGCUCAGCACCAGCUGAAAAUGCUUAAAUGUGGAUUUUCAUCUUGGUUGUGAACGCUGAAACCUGAGAUGGUCAUGGAGAAUCCUGCCACGUGAUUAAUCAAUUCAGAGAGAGAAAAUUUGUGAAAUAAACCCCAACAGUGCCAUGUUCCUGUGCUGGGUACCCUACAGUGGGAGUGGAUGAUGGAGCCAAGGUAGAUACAACACCAGAGGAAGAGAGAAAAAACCCAACUCAUCUGCCAAAUAUAGGCAAGACAUCCCACAAAAUGCAUAGAAAUGAGGAUGAUUUUCCUGUGCUUGAUCAAAGAGUUGAAUUAAUUUGUGUCAGAAGUUGGAUUCCAGAAAGCACUUAUUAAAAGUGAUUCAUUGUUGGCCACUCACAUGCAGGAUGGAGCUCUGGGAAAGGACACAGGUUUGUCUUGGCUCUGUAAAAUCCCCCAAAGCCAGCACAAUUUUCACAGCCAUUAUCUGUGGGGGGAACCUUCUCACCAGGUGCUUGGAGGAUUGUAGAGAGUUUGACUCAGUUGUUUCCUACAGAUUUCUACAAGAAAACACAGACAAAGCCCAGCAUGUGUGAGGUCCUGGUUCUGAGCCCUUUCUUUUCUGCUCCACAUUUCUGUAUGAGAGGAAGAAAUCUGGAAGAGCUGCUGAAAUUACUGGAAUUGGUUGCUGCCUGCAGUGAAACCCUCACAUUCCAGCUCAGGUAACUUGAUGAAUGCCCUGUGAUGGCUACUCCCAAACGAAAACACAGGGACAAGUAUGGGUGUUCUGAAAGAACAUGGCAACAGAAAUGAGGUGGACUUUAAAAAUUAUUCAUACACAUGGCAGGAGUUUGAAGGGAUUCAAAGCACCUGCAUUCACAUCACUUAAGGGGGGAAUAUUCUAUCAGCCCAAGUUCAUUGAAAACUUGCUGGAGGUUCAUCUGGAACUGCUGGCUCCUUCACCUGGCUGCUCUGCCUUGGUUUUCAGUCUCAGCAGAUUCUGGAAUGCACUUGCAGCAGUUCUCACUUGCUGGAGGAGCUGGACCAGACUUGGAGCAUUUUCUCAAAAAGCUAUCAGGAGGCUGAAGCUGGGCUUAUUCAGGGAAAGGGAGCACUGUAAUUUACAUUCUUUGAUGAAGAUGCUGAGUGCAGCAAAUUCCAAUGGGAUGAGGGAUUGGUUCCUGAGUCAGGAGCUGGUUUAGCUCUGUGCUGUGGAGGGGAAGAAGCCUCUGGAGCAAACUGUCCCUGUCCAGGCUGCACUGAAUUCCACCCUGGCUCUCCCCUGCUGGUUCCAAGCCGUGGCAGAAGGAAACAUUCUCAUGGCCAAGGUCAUUGAAGGAGGAAUGAGGCAGCACCAAAAGUGGGGUGAUGGCAGCAACCACUGCACAUUCACAUGCUCUGAGUGUCCUUCAGAGAGUUGGAGCACAGCUUUUUCAGACAGAAAUAUCCAGUGUAACAAAUGAAUGCUGAUCUUCCCUGUCAGAAGCCAUUUGUACCUGCUCUGGAACAUUUCAGGCUGAAGAGUUUCUGCCUGCUGAGACCAGCCCAGGCUAAUCACAUUCCACGCAGAGGAAUUUGGAUUUGCAUCAGAAAGCAGCACUCCUCCACCUGUUUCAAACACUAAGCCCCAAAGAAGAGGUUGAGAUGUCUCUUCCAGAGAAGCAGAUUCUGAAAUAUCUCCCGUGUAAAUUUUGGCUUCGCUGAGCAGGCGCACAGGUAAAAGAGAGGACUGGCCCGGGACUGAGCCUGGGAUCACCACUGCUGACCAGCUGGGAAACAGAACACAAAAAACCUCUCAAGGCUCAGCAUUUCCUGACAGAAAGCCCUGAUGGUGAAACAAAAGUGAGAAAUGCCCAGAGCUGGCAGGAUGUGGAAGCUUGCAGGUACAUGAGCACCUGGGAUUUGUGAAGGACAGACCACCACCUCCCCAAUAACACAGGCAUUAAGCAGAAAUAAGUCCAGAUAAUGAGCAGCCAAAAAAUAAUGCAUAAGUGGAUGAAGACUGUGUCUGCCUGUCCUUAAUCCAAUCCAAAUUUGCCUGCAGUGCUUUGCAUUUGCAGUCAGAGGUUUGCUGGCAUAGUCUGGGGCAGCCUUCCAAGGCAUCACUGGGAUAUCUCUGAGAGGAGAGCUGAGGCAGCCUGAUCUGUGUCCUGCUGGAGAAAGCACCUUCUGUUGCAUUUUUUUGUGGCUAUUAACUGGAACUCUGAAUGGGAUUCCAUAACUGUUGGGAUGUCAAGUGUUGAAUUUUGAGCCAGACUUCACUUCUUCAGUCCAUUUUCUGCUGUUUACAGGUCUUCCCUGUGAGCGUGAUGUGUUAAAAAUAAACCAACAGUGGCAGGUUUCUAUUUCAAACCAAUAUUGCUCCUUUAGCACUGAAGUUCCCAGCACAGGAAGGACAUGGACGGACCCCUUGGAGCAAGUCCAGAUUAUCAGAGGGAUGGAGCAGCUCUGCUGGGAGGAAAUGCUGGGAAAAUUUGGAUUGUUCAACCUGGAGAAGAGAAGCUUUGGGGUGACCUAGUUGUGACCUUCCAGUGCCUGAAGGGAUUGGGAAAGGUUUGGAGGGUUAUCUCAGGGAAUGCAGGGGAAAAGGCCUCAGGCUGGGCCAGGGGAGGCUCAGCUGGGACAGCAGCAGCAAUUUCUGCAUGCAAAGGGUGCUCAGGCCUUG